Molecule: long non-coding RNA, 551 nt
Organism: Oreochromis aureus
Lineage: Eukaryota; Metazoa; Chordata; Actinopteri; Cichliformes; Cichlidae
Exons: 3
Source: RefSeq, a predicted model, not a curated record
GUUUUACUGGUGUUACUGGUUUGGCUGAUGAGACGAUCUGUUCAGAGGAAACCCGAAGAGAGUGAUCCGGCUGCGGUCAACACAGCGGUGGGAAUGGAAGACAUCACUUAUGGUAAAAUCAUCAAAAACAAAUCAACCACUAGAGACUUUAAACCAGAGCCAGACGUCGUCUACUCUUCACUGAAGUAGUCCACCAGUCCAACCACUGACGUCCAGCUGCUGGUCUCUAACUGGUCCCCCAGCACCUCACACCAGAGGACAUCCACAUCCUGAAAGAAUUUGUUUAUGUUUUGUCUUUUUCACACCAAAUUAGACAAACUAUUUAAAAAAACACAUAUUUUAACUCCCAUUUUAAGAGUGUAUUUUUUCUUGCCAGAUCAAAAAAAGGUUUUAUAAACAUGUUUGUAUAUUUUAUGUGUAGUAACCUCAGUGCCAUUAGUAUUUUAUUUGUGCUUGUUGACUAAUAUUCCCAAGCCUGUGGUCUGUUAUCUUUGCAGUAUUAAUAAACUUUUCUCCAAAAGUUGAUUCUGUUCAUCUGGACGAUUGAUCAA